RNAcentral lists this ribosomal RNA (253 nucleotides) under uncultured bacterium. RNAcentral describes it as "partial 16S ribosomal RNA". It matches the Rfam family "Bacterial small subunit ribosomal RNA", at positions 524 to 776 of the family's 1533-position model. The record is from RNAcentral.
UACAGAGGUCUCAAGCGUUGUUCGGAUUCAUUGGGCGUAAAGGGUGCGUAGGUGGCGGGGUAAGUCUGGUGUGAAAUCUCGGGGCUCAACCCCGAAACUGCACUGGAUACUGCCUUGCUCGAGUACUGGAGAGGAGAUUGGAAUUUACGGUGUAGCAGUGAAAUGCGUAGAUAUCGUAAGGAAGACCAGUGGCGAAGGCGAGUCCCUGGACAACUCCUGACACUGAGGCACGAAAGCUAGGGGAGCAAACAGG